RNAcentral lists this ribosomal RNA (499 nucleotides) under uncultured bacterium. RNAcentral describes it as "bacterial SSU rRNA". It matches the Rfam family "Bacterial small subunit ribosomal RNA", at positions 30 to 504 of the family's 1533-position model. The record is from RNAcentral.
CGAACGUUGGCGGCGUGGAUUAGGCAUGCAAGUCGAGCGAGAACGCCACCUUCGGGUGGUUAGUACAGCGGCGAACGGGUGAGUAUCGCGUGGGGAACCUGCCCUCAGGUGGGGGAUAACAUUCCUAACGGAGUGCUAAUACCGCAUUACACGGCUGGGUCGCAUGGCCCGGCCGUCAAAGGUGGCCUCUGUUUCAAGCUGUCGCCUGAGGAUGGCCCCGCGUCCGAUUAGCUUGUUGGUGGGGUAACGGCUCACCAAGGCGACGAUCGGUAGCUGGUCUGAGAGGAUGGUCAGCCACACUGGGACUGAGAUACGGCCCAGACUCCUACGGGAGGCAGCAGUCGAGAGGCUUCGGCAAUGGGGGAAACCCUGACCGAGCGACGCCGCGUGGGGGACGAAGGCUUUCGGGUCGUAAACCCCUUUCAGUAGGGACGAAAACUUGUCGGGCUAAUACCCCGACGACUUGACGGUACCUGCAGAAGAAGCGCCGGCUAACUCC